AUGUGUUUCUCUCUCUCUCUCCCCCUCCCCACUCUUUCUAAAAGUCAAUAGGAAAAUAUCCUCGGGUGAGGAUUACCCCCCAAAAUAAGAAAGAGUCACCAGCUUUUGGCAGCUAUGAAGCUGGGGAGAUCCUGACCAAACCAAGGACAUCGGAUCUCAUUGUCCUCCCAGCCCUUCAACCCUUCCCCAAAGACCCUCAAUAAGAUGGUUUGACAACCCCCCCUGUACUCCCCCCAAAAAGAGUCACCAAUAAUAGUUUUUCUCUUCAGACAGCAACACAACCUCAAGUUAGAGACCAUCAGAGAACUGAGGGGCUAGGAAAAUCUUGAAUUUGCUCAUUUUCUUUCCUUCCGUAAGUAUCUGCAGCAACUGGGACCAAGAGAGGAGUUUCUAGCAGAACGUUGCCUGAAUUGCAAAGCACCUUAAUCACAGAAUUGUACAUAAUCCUUGAUCCUGUGUGUUUUCAUUUUAUGUAAAUUUCCAUUUGCCUCAAAACCUAUGAUAGUGCUAAGUAAAAACAAAACCAUCGAUUGCUUUUCAUGUAA
Myotis davidii is the source of this 545-nucleotide long non-coding RNA. RefSeq lists it as uncharacterized. The record is from RefSeq and is a predicted model, not a curated record. NCBI's taxonomy places the organism in Eukaryota, Metazoa, Chordata, Mammalia, Chiroptera, Vespertilionidae. The transcript has 2 exons.